GCAAACUUGGUCAUUUAGAGGAAGUAAAAGUCGUAACAAGGUUUCCGUAGGUGAACCUGCGGAAGGAUCAUUACCAAUCAGCGGGAGGCCGCGAGGCCUCCUGUACUGCCUGUUUGGCCGCCUUAACUGCGCGGUCAACUGGUUAACCCUUUGUGAACCAAAAAACCUUUCGCUUCGGCAGCUGGGCCCUGACCGGCCUGUCAGCCUGCCGUUAGCACCCUUCAAAAACUUGUUGUCAAAACAUUGUCUGAUAACCAAAUUUUCGAAUGAAAAUUAAAACUUUCAACAACGGAUCUCUUGGUUCCCGCAUCGAUGAAGAACGCAGC
RNAcentral lists this unclassified non-coding RNA (326 nucleotides) under uncultured fungus. Its description in RNAcentral is "partial contains small subunit ribosomal RNA, internal transcribed spacer 1, and 5.8S ribosomal RNA". The stretch from base 1 to 73 matches the Rfam family "Eukaryotic small subunit ribosomal RNA", at positions 1759 to 1831 of the family's 1831-position model. Lineage: Eukaryota; Fungi. The record is from RNAcentral.